UUUGGCAUGGUUUUGUACCACUGAGGAAAUUUAGGAUGUUUGUAUCAAUUAUUUGCUAAUAGAUACAUUUUUAGCAUUAGAGAAAUCCAGCUUGUGACUUGUGACUUUGACGCUUGGAGAUCCAAAGAAACCUCCUCGAGAGCUCUGAAGACAAUCCCCCUUGUUUAUUGCCUCAAUUCAUAGGCCUUGAUUAGUGUUGGGUCUUUCUCUUCUCAAUCUUUUUGUAAAUGACCUCAUCUUGCUACUUUCUUUUGUUGGCCACUGGUAGCAAUGAGAAGGCAAACUUUUGUCAAGCCUUCCCACCCAUUUCUUUUAACAUGUGGGCUUUGUUUUGUCUUUUGCUAAAAUCUUGCUUUGGCUGUUGCAAAUUCCUUCCCAUCUUGUUUGUCUUUUCGUUUAUACCCUAGUGGAACAAGUGUAGCACAUCUUGUUUCACGAACCAAAUUUUACAACGAGUGACCUCUGUUGAUUUCCCUUAAUUUCU
RNAcentral lists this long non-coding RNA (484 nucleotides) under Prunus persica (peach). RNAcentral describes it as "long non-coding RNA (PPER_LNC003293)". The record is from RNAcentral. Lineage: Eukaryota; Viridiplantae; Streptophyta; Magnoliopsida; Rosales; Rosaceae.